Molecule: long non-coding RNA, 431 nt
Organism: Xenia sp. Carnegie-2017
Lineage: Eukaryota; Metazoa; Cnidaria; Anthozoa; Malacalcyonacea; Xeniidae
Exons: 2
Source: RefSeq, a predicted model, not a curated record
GUGCGAUUUUGUGAUAAUAAUCGCCUAAAACGCAAACUGUUUUGGAAGAUCAUGGAAUUUUGUGACGAAACGUGAAAGAAAUAAGUUGUUAUUUUGGCAUUCAGUUCUCAAGUGAGGAUUAUGUUGCAAGUGUCUUGUGUUAUGUAGUUUUAGUAUGUUGGAUUAGAUUUUAGUGGCUACUUGUUGCAGUAGCAUGUUAAACUUUGUUUGUUAAAUUCUAUUACGUUUUUAUUAUGAUUGGGUGGUUUUUGUAAGGGUGCUCUAUUAAACAUUGAUCACAAUUUCUUCAGCUUAAUUGUUUAGUAUACCAAUAUUUAUUGAGAAAUUAGCAUUUCUUCUGCACCCCCAUCUAGCUUAAGCUAGGAGGGCUGCACACCCCUCUCUUAUAUCCAUCUCUUAAUAAAUUUGUCAUUAAAUUUUUUAAAUGUAAA